This 479-nucleotide ribosomal RNA is filed under the name uncultured Planctomycetota bacterium. RNAcentral's name for it is "bacterial SSU rRNA". It matches the Rfam family "Bacterial small subunit ribosomal RNA", at positions 364 to 833 of the family's 1533-position model. The record is from RNAcentral. Lineage: Bacteria; Pseudomonadati; Planctomycetota.
UUUCGCAAUGCCCGAAAGGGUGACGAAGCGACGCCGCGUGUGGGAAGAAGGCCUUCGGGUUGUAAACCACUGUCGGGAGUUAGGAAAUGUAAGGGUGCUAAUAGUAUCCUUGCUUGACUAAGGCUCCGGAGGAAGCCACGGCUAACUCUGUGCCAGCAGCCGCGGUAAUACAGAGGCGGCAAGCGUUGUUCGGAAUUAUUGGGCGUAAAGAGCACGUAGGCGGCCUUGUAAGUCAGUUGUGAAAGCCUUCUGCUUAACGGAAGAACAGCAGCUGAUACUGCAAGGCUAGAGUGCGGAAGGGGAGAGUGGAACUUCUGGUGGAGCGGUGAAAUGCGUAGAUAUCAGAAGGAACACCGGCGGCGAAGGCGACUCUCUGGUCCGUAACUGACGCUGAGUGAGCGAAAGCUAGGGGAGCAAACGGGAUUAGAUACCCCGGUAGUCCUAGCCGUAAACGAUGGGCACUAAGUAGAGGGGUUUUA